This 729-nucleotide ribosomal RNA is filed under the name Graptacme eborea. RNAcentral describes it as "ribosomal RNA small subunit". The record is from RNAcentral. Lineage: Eukaryota; Metazoa; Mollusca; Scaphopoda; Dentaliida; Dentaliidae.
CAAGAACAGUUUCCACUAUCCUUACUUUGUUACGACUUAUCCUAAUAUAGGAGUGACGGGCGAUAUGUACGCAAUUUAUUAUAUUUUCAGUAAAGUAAUUUAAUCUUAACUUACUACUAAGUCCUCUUUCAAAUUUCAAUUUCAAGAAAUUAUUCAAUAAUUAUUGUAACCCAUUUAAUCCUUUAUCAUAAGCAACAUCUUGAUCUGAAUUAUUUAUUAAUUAAUAUUUUUAACUCACGUUUUUAAUAACGUGAAUUCAUACGACGAUAUAUUGACUGGAAAAACAAGAUAAAGUUUGAUUUCUCGUGGAUCAUCGAAUUAAAUAACAGGCUCCCAUAGGAAAUUAAAUUACCGCCAGGACAUUUGAUUUUUUAAUUAUUCUGGUAUUAAAAAAAAUGCAGUAAAGGAAUUAUAGGGUAUCUAAUCCUAGUUUAUUUCCAGAACUUUAUCAUUUCCUUAUUUUAAAUCUAUUAGUAAAUAUCUUAUUAGAAAUUCUACUUUCAUAAUAAAUAAAUGGAUUUAAUUUAAGUAUUUAUUGAAUUUUUAAACCAUAAAAUUUUGAGUCAAUUUUAGGGUAUAACAGCGAUUGCUGGCACCCCUUUUAGCCAAAUUUWAAAUUAGAUUCUACAUCCAUCUUUCGGUGAUAAAUUAAUUUUUUUUUAUUGAAUUCACUAAAAUUUUCAUAUAAAAAGUAAUAUUCCUAAAAUAAAGCCAUGCCCAAACUUAAAA